AUUGAACGCUGGCGGCAUGCCUUACACAUGCAAGUCGAACGGCAGCACGGGAGCAAUCCUGGUGGCGAGUGGCGAACGGGUGAGUAAUAUAUCGGAACGUGCCCGGUCGUGGGGAUAACGUAGCGAAAGCUACGCUAAUACCGCAUACGAUCUACGGAUGAAAGCGGGGGAUCGCAAGACCUCGCGCGAUUGGAGCGGCCGAUAUCAGAUUAGGUAGUUGGUGAGGUAAAGGCUCACCAAGCCGACGAUCUGUAGCUGGUCUGAGAGGACGACCAGCCACACUGGGACUGAGACACGGCCCAGACUCCUACGGGAGGCAGCAGUGGGGAAUAUUGGACAAUGGGCGAAAGCCUGAUCCAGCAAUGCCGCGUGAGUGAUGAAGGCCUUAGGGUUGUAAAGCUCUUUUACCCGAGAUGAUAAUGACAGUAUCGGGAGAAUAAGCUCCGGCUAACUCCGUGCCAGCAGCCGCGGUAAAGUG
This 478-nucleotide ribosomal RNA is filed under the name uncultured bacterium. Its description in RNAcentral is "bacterial SSU rRNA". It matches the Rfam family "Bacterial small subunit ribosomal RNA", at positions 30 to 527 of the family's 1533-position model. The record is from RNAcentral.